GCAUGUGGUUUAAUUCGAUGCAACGCGAAGAACCUUACCUGGUCUUGACAUCCACGGAAGUUUUCAGAGAUGAGAAUGUGCCUUCGGGAACCGUGAGACAGGUGCUGCAUGGCUGUCGUCAGCUCGUGUUGUGAAAUGUUGGGUUAAGUCCCGCAACGAGCGCAACCCUUAUCCUUUGUUGCCAGCGGUCCGGCCGGGAACUCAAAGGAGACUGCCAGUGAUAAACUGGAGGAAGGUGGGGAUGACGUCAAGUCAUCAUGGCCCUUACGACCAGGGCUACACACGUGCUACAAUGGCGCAUACAAAGAGAAGCGACCUCGCGAGAGCAAGCGGACCUCAUAAAGUGCGUCGUAGUCCGGAUUGGAGUCUGCAACUCGACUCCAUGAAGUCGGAAUCGCUAGUAAUCGUGGAUCAGAAUGCCACGGUGAAUACGUUCCCGGGCCUUGUACACACCGCCCGUCACACCAUGGGAGUGGGUUGCAAAAGAAGUAGGUAGCUUAACCUUCGGGAGGGCGCUUACCACUUUGUGAUUCAUGACUGGGGUGAAGUCGUAACAAGGUAACCGUAGGGGAACCUGCGGUUGGAUCACCUCCUUACCUUAAAGAA
RNAcentral lists this ribosomal RNA (606 nucleotides) under Escherichia coli. RNAcentral describes it as "bacterial SSU rRNA". It matches the Rfam family "Bacterial small subunit ribosomal RNA", at positions 937 to 1533 of the family's 1533-position model. Lineage: Bacteria; Pseudomonadati; Pseudomonadota; Gammaproteobacteria; Enterobacterales; Enterobacteriaceae. The record is from RNAcentral.